ACAAACUUGGUCAUUUAGAGGAAGUAAAAGUCGUAACAAGGUUUCCGUAGGUGAACCUGCGGAAGGAUCAUUAGCGAGAGUGGGCUUCGGCCCCGUCCCAAACACACACACAUCCGUGAACCCUCGGUCCCUCCUGGUCGUUCGAACCCGCCGGAGACGGCGACAGUAGUCCGCCCGGGGGUUCCGAACCCCACAAACACCUCAGAGAAGCCAUGGAAUUUUAGUAAUCUAUUACAACUUUCAACAACGGAUCUCUAGGCUCUCGCAUCGAUGAAGAACGCAGC
Molecule: unclassified non-coding RNA, 284 nt
Filed under: uncultured fungus
Lineage: Eukaryota; Fungi
Description: partial contains small subunit ribosomal RNA, internal transcribed spacer 1, and 5.8S ribosomal RNA
Rfam family: Eukaryotic small subunit ribosomal RNA (bases 1-73)
Source: RNAcentral